RNAcentral lists this ribosomal RNA (254 nucleotides) under uncultured bacterium. RNAcentral's name for it is "partial 16S ribosomal RNA". It matches the Rfam family "Bacterial small subunit ribosomal RNA", at positions 524 to 776 of the family's 1533-position model. The record is from RNAcentral.
UACGAAGGGGGCUAGCGUUGCUCGGAAUCACUGGGCGUAAAGGGUGCGUAGGCGGGUCUUUUAAGUCAGGGGUGAAAUCCUGGAGCUCAACUCCAGAACUGCCUUUGAUACUGAAGAUCUUGAGUUCGGGAGAGGUGGGUGGAACUGCGAGUGUAGAGGUGAAAUUCGUAGAUAUUCGCAAGAACACCAGUGGCGAAGGCGGCUCACUGGCCCGAUACUGACGCUGAGGCACGAAAGCGUGGGGAGCAAACAGG